UACAGAGGGUGCAAGCGUUAAUCGGAGUUACUGGGCGUAAAGGGCGCGUAGGCGGUUGAAUAAGUGAGAUGUGAAAUCCCUGGGCUUAACCUAGGAACUGCAUUUUAUACUGUUUAACUAGAGUAUUGUAGAGGGUAGUGGAAUUUCCGGUGUAGCGGUGAAAUGCGUAGAGAUCGGAAGGAACACCAGUGGCGAAGGCGGCUACCUGGACAAAUACUGACGCUGAGGCGCGAGAGCGUGGGGAGCAAACAGG
RNAcentral lists this ribosomal RNA (253 nucleotides) under uncultured prokaryote. RNAcentral's name for it is "partial 16S ribosomal RNA". It matches the Rfam family "Bacterial small subunit ribosomal RNA", at positions 524 to 776 of the family's 1533-position model. The record is from RNAcentral.